RNAcentral lists this long non-coding RNA (290 nucleotides) under Setaria viridis. Its description in RNAcentral is "long non-coding RNA (SVIR_LNC003693)". Lineage: Eukaryota; Viridiplantae; Streptophyta; Magnoliopsida; Poales; Poaceae. The record is from RNAcentral.
GGAAAAGAGGUAGCCCAAUGCAUUGGUAAAGAACCAUACAUAUUGAGCGAUCUGAGAGAAUCAUUUGAGGAGCACGGUUAUAUUUUGGUUUAAAAAUCCUUAAAAAACCCAAGCUAUUUGAGCAGGAGAAGUAAAGUUGGUUUGAUUCAUGAACUUAGUCGACAUUCCACUCCACCCUUAUGUGGAUGAGGAAGGAACAAAAGGCAGCAGCUUUGGUAUUUAUUUCACGCAAGUGCGGAUGACGGUGCCAGCAGCUGCUUGCAUACUUGCUAUUGCUUGACACACGGUUG